UACGGAGGGGGCUAGCGUUGUUCGGAAUUACUGGGCGUAAAGCGCACGUAGGCGGCUUCGCAAGUCAGAGGUGAAAGCCUGGGGCUCAACCCCGGAACUGCCUUUGAGACUGCGUCGCUCGAAUCCGGGAGAGGCGGGUGGAAGUCCGAGUGUAGAGGUGAAAUUCGUAGAGAUUCGGAAGAACACCAGUGGCGAAGGCGGCCCGCUGGACCGGCAUUGACGCUGAGGUGCGAAAGCGUGGGGAGCAAACAGG
RNAcentral lists this ribosomal RNA (253 nucleotides) under uncultured bacterium. RNAcentral's name for it is "partial 16S ribosomal RNA". It matches the Rfam family "Bacterial small subunit ribosomal RNA", at positions 524 to 776 of the family's 1533-position model. The record is from RNAcentral.